UUGGAUAAUAGUGUUGUAUAGCACACUGUAUUACUUAAGUAACUAAUAUUAGGGCAGGACAAAAUAUUCCAAUGUACAUAAAAGUACUCAAAAUGUUCCGUGUAAGAACUCCAUUGUUACACAGAUUUAUCAAAUGUUCCUAUAUUUCUAACCAGUGCAGACAUUUUCAGUUCAUUAUUUUUCUUUCUCACACUUUUUAGACAGUCCCUUACUCCCAGUAUUUUUUUCCUUCUUCUUUUCACUUGGCGAUUCCACUUUCUCCCGCAGUGCAGCAAAACUCUUCCCCUCUUUGCUGUGACAUCAGAAACUAGCUCCACAUUUUCUUUGUUUCUUCCUACAGCAAAAAAAAAAAACGUUGAAACUUUCUACCGAGUAGAACUAACAAACCUUAAGAAGGACCUGCUCUCCACCAUUACAAGGAGAUGAAAGACAGUGAACAAGCAGCACUUCGGCUUCAAUUGUCUGGACCCUGGUGUUGUGGCUAAGGCCCUUUCACUCAGAUGGAACCAGAUUUCAGCUGCUUUGCAAUGCUGACAUCCUUCCUCCCAAGAGAUGUGCAAGCAUCCCCUGGACUUGACACAACCCGGAAAACAUAUAUUUUUUAAACAUCAGGACUUUUUCAAAUCAAAAGGGCACUAACAUUACAUGUCCUGCUCCAAAGGGCAGGAUGGAAAUAGGCUCUCAGGGUAGAUUCCUAUGUUCAUAACAUGACAUCAACCAAAGUCACUCAAAGGAUCUCAUGAUAUAGGCCCAGGUCUAGAUAGUGGUUUACCUUUAUGUGUUUUAAGUUUUUCCUGCUUGUAGGCUAGCACUUGAAAUCUUUUUAUGUUUAAAUACCUCACUGCUUUUGCACAUGGCCACAGUCACAUGGGUUCACAUGUUCAUUCUUAAAGAUAUGGGUGGUUCUAAGGCUUAAAAAGGUAUGAACAUGUAGCUGUUCGAUGUGUAAGGUUAUCUAUAUUAUAAAACAAUAGGCAAUUUAAUACUGUUAAUGUUUUGACUAAUGGGGGAACUUGGUGAGAUAAUGUUCAGAGAAUCCAUUUUCUGUAAUUUGGUGAAGGUAAAAAAAAAUCUAAAAUACACGUUUAUGUGUAUGAUAUAUCA
Oncorhynchus keta (chum salmon) is the source of this 1104-nucleotide long non-coding RNA. RefSeq lists it as uncharacterized. The transcript has 3 exons. NCBI's taxonomy places the organism in Eukaryota, Metazoa, Chordata, Actinopteri, Salmoniformes, Salmonidae. The record is from RefSeq and is a predicted model, not a curated record.